This 70-nucleotide transfer RNA is filed under the name Reticulitermes lucifugus. RNAcentral's name for it is "tRNA-Val". Lineage: Eukaryota; Metazoa; Arthropoda; Insecta; Blattodea; Rhinotermitidae. The record is from RNAcentral.
CAGAUCAUAUCUGUUAGUUGAAAUUUCAUUUACGCUGAAUAAUUGUGUCGUGCGAUUCGACAUGGUCUGA